Molecule: ribosomal RNA, 397 nt
Filed under: uncultured bacterium
Lineage: Bacteria
Description: partial 16S ribosomal RNA
Rfam family: Bacterial small subunit ribosomal RNA
Source: RNAcentral
AUACGUAGGGGGCGAGCGUUGUCCGGAAUGAUUGGGCGUAAAGGGCGCGUAGGCGGCCCGGUAAGUCUGGAGUGAAAGUCCUGUUUUUAAGAUGGGAAUUGCUUUGGAUACUGUCGGGCUUGAGUGCAGGAGAGGUAAGUGGAAUUCCCAGUGUAGCGGUGAAAUGCGUAGAGAUUGGGAGGAACACCAGUGGCGAAGGCGACUUACUGGACUGUAACUGACGCUUAGGCGCGAAAGUGUGGGGAUCAAACAGGAUUAGAUCCCCUGGUAGUCCACACUGUAAACGAGGAAUGCUAGGUGUAGGGGGUAUCGACCCCUUCUGUGCCGCAGUCAACACAAUAAGCAUUCCGCCUGGGGAGUACGGCCGCAAGGUUGAAACUCAAAUGAAUUGACGGGG